AUUAAUAGCUUCAGAGCAUUGAUGCUGGUUAAGUUACAGACCCAGCAAGGACCAUGGGUAACUGACCAGAUAAGCCCUGAAGUCCCCAUCAUCGCCAUCACUGCCACCCUGAUGCGUUCCUCUUGCAAGCGGCCAGAGCAGCCCUUGUCGGUUGCAGGAAAAGCCCCAGUGGGGGGUGUGUCCCGUCUGCCUGGAAGGUGUCCAGUGGGACCCCAGCUGAAGUGGAAUGGAGACGUGCACAGCAGAGUGAUUUCUGAACAAGAGUCGUCCCCGAGAACGGAUAAGCACAUGCAAACGGCUGUCCCCCAGAUCCGAGAGGACAGUCACUGGCACGGUUUCUAACUCCAAAGGACAGGAGAGGGAGACGCAAGAAAGUAGCUCGACGAGAAGCGGCUCUGAAUACGCCGGCCCAGCAGCCUCGCUCCAGGUUUGCACAAGGAAGUUGAAAGCAUGCGUUACCUGCUAGGCUCGGAAACAAGGGCACCGUUCGGGGGGAAAGACAGGAUUUUCCCGAGAGUGUCUUAAUUCAGCACAUGCUCCCCGAGCGCUCCUUCCGCCCGGGCCCUGAGCGCCUGGCUGCUCUGCCUGGCAGCUCGGAAACGCUCUCCCUUGAAGCAGGGAGUUUAUUUCGGGCCCACCGCAUGACCAAUGAUAGCAAGCCAAAGUAUAAGAUGUUAUGAAUCUCAGAUUUCCUGUUUGGAGACUGCAGAGGCAGCGGCUGUGGUCCUGCCUUCAGCCCCUCCAGGGUGCACCGGCCCCGCACUUUGCUUCAGCGAGCACCUCGGAGCGUUGGCCCUCACGUGACGUCACCAUUUGGGAUCCUUGACAUGGAGGCCAUAUAUGGGCCAGACAAACCUCUGAAAGUCAACAGAACUGAAGAAACUCACUCUCUGAACCUUGUUGACAUAUCCCUGGACUCAGCUCUUGCAAAUCAAGAGCCCAAAUUGUGGGUGAAGAGUCACAGGGAACGCAGACGACAAAGGGGGGACUGGCCAGGCACACUGACUGAAAUGAAGAGGAUGGUGGUCAGUCAGAAACAACGGUUCUUAACUGAGGACACUUCCCCCCAGAGUCAGUGGACAAUUCUUGGAGACAUUUUUUGGUAGCUAUAACUGAGGACGGGGUUUGCUACUGGCAUCAAGUCUCCAUUUCUUUUUUGGUGCACAUGUGGGGCGAGAGGCGCCUGACACAUUAAAAGAGCUGGGGCCUAGCCACCAAGGUGCCAGUCUUGGUCCUUCCGGAAAGUUCUAUGGAAAUUGUUUUCCUGCCUGGAGCCCCAAGAAAAGGAGGAAGGGGCUGCAUCGUGUGGCUGCCAAGAACACAGGCCCCAACAAACUCAGAGUGCCCUCACCCCCGACUGAGCGGCUACACGCUGCUGCCCCCACCCAUCUCUCCUCUGAGAUGAAAAACUCUAAUUGUGAAUCAACUGGAAUUCAAGUCAAACCCACCUGAAUAUGUGCAACACCAGAAAUAAAAAAUGGGGUAACAAUGA
This is a long non-coding RNA of Artibeus jamaicensis (Jamaican fruit-eating bat), 1492 nucleotides long. RefSeq lists it as uncharacterized. The record is from RefSeq and is a predicted model, not a curated record. Lineage: Eukaryota; Metazoa; Chordata; Mammalia; Chiroptera; Phyllostomidae. The transcript is spliced from 5 exons.